UACGGGGGGGGCAAGCGUUGUUCGGAAUUACUGGGCGUAAAGGGCUCGUAGGCGGCUAACUAAGUCGGAUGUGAAAUCCCCAGGCUCAACCUGGGAACUGCAUCCGAUACUGGAUGGCUUGAAUCCGGGAGAGGGAUGCAGAAUUCCAGGUGUAGCGGUGAAAUGCGUAGAUAUCUGGAGGAAUACCGGUGGCGAAGGCGGCAUCCUGGACCGGCAUUGACGCUGAGGGGCGAAAGCCAGGGGAGCAAACGGG
RNAcentral lists this ribosomal RNA (253 nucleotides) under uncultured bacterium. RNAcentral's name for it is "partial 16S ribosomal RNA". It matches the Rfam family "Bacterial small subunit ribosomal RNA", at positions 524 to 776 of the family's 1533-position model. The record is from RNAcentral.